Molecule: ribosomal RNA, 406 nt
Filed under: uncultured bacterium
Lineage: Bacteria
Description: partial 16S ribosomal RNA
Rfam family: Bacterial small subunit ribosomal RNA
Source: RNAcentral
AUUGAACGCUGGAGGCAGGCCUAACACCUGCAAGUCGAACGAGUGGCGGACGGGUGAGUAAUGUCUGGGAAACUGCCCGAUGGAGGGGGAUAACUACUGGAAACGGUAGAUAAUACCGCAUACCAUCGGAUGUGCCCAAAUGGGAUUAGCUAGUAGGUGGGGUAACGGCUCAACUAGGCGACGAUCCCUAGCUGGUCUGAGAGGAUGACCAGCCACACUGGAACUGAGACACGGUCCAGACGCCUACGGGAGGCAGCAGUGGGGAAUAUUGCAAAAUGGGCGCUAGCCUGAUGCAGCCAUGCCGCGUGUAUGAAGAAGGCCUUCGGGUUGUAAAGUACUUUCAGCGGGGAGGCGUUACCCGCAGAAGAAGCACCGGCUAACUCCGUGCCAGCAGCCGCGGUAAUAC